UAAAACGUCGUAUUAGGUUUUUUUAAACAAAGGAUUAUACCAUCUCUUCAAGCCAAAAGGUAUAACGGUGGGGAAAGAAAAUCAAAAAGAAACCCACUAUGAUUACAACACAUAUUUGAGUUGGGAUCAAGUGGUAGAAUCGUAUCAGCUUCGUCCUCAAUUGGCUGUUCAAGGUUGUAAAACAAUAUGCAUUCUGCAAAACCAUUAAAUUUGAUCCACCUGGUACUGAAUUCCGGGCUACAGAGUAUAGAACGCCAAAACUUUCACUACGAGAAAUUUGACAGGAAAACACUAUCAUUUCAUAUUUGAUAUCAAAAAUUUAUAAAGUACCCGGACCACUGUUUAGCUUUUAUUUUUGACGGGGCACACUAAUUCAAUCCCGCUUCAUGUUUACUUAGCCAUAAAUUUCUUUUCAAUCCCUCUUCCUUCACCAAUCUAUCUUCCUCCAUCAGAUCGAUCUUCUCUGUUAGGGACUUGAAUCUGUUCUUAUGAUUUCGAAUCAACAUCUCGUGAUAGAGACAUAGACUGUUGGCAGUGGCGAUAAAAUUUGGGGAAAAAUGAAUCUCGAACAACAACAACCUGCCUCCAACCUAAAAUUGAUCAGUUUGAUCUCUGUUUCCGAAGAGGAAUUCAUCGUCAAAGAUGAAUUGGAGACUUAAUCUCGGAAUGAAUCAAAAUGAAAACAAGAUAAGUUUCCUUUUACUUUUAUAUUUAUACUCGCGAUUAUGAAAAACUUAGGUUUUUGUUUGCAAUCCAAUUUCUGAUUCUAUUUGAGUUUAGGAUCUUAGAAAUCUAUCAAAUGGAUGAUUCGAUUUAGUCUAUAUUUGUUAUCAUCUCCUAUCAAUCUUCAUUUUGAGAUAAAUUUCGAAAAACAAUUGAAAAAAAGUUCGCCAAAUUUUAUCACUGAAAUUCGAUUUAUUUCUCAAUCUGCAAUCCUGAUAGGAAGCUGUUGAUUCAUAAUAAUGGAAGGAUUUAUUACAUCCAGAAAUCUCAAAAUGUAUAAUCAGUGAGAUUUUCUUCACUGGCUAUUAGGUGUGUAAUUUUGUAUAUUACUAAGAAGAAGCAGAUCGGAUUACACUUGAUAUUCAAAAGAAGAGGAACAUUGAGCAAGAGAAGGCUUUGCCAGGAAAGAGGAGAAAGCCACAAUGCAGAGGCGUUCAAAUGAUUUGUGUGCUUGAAAAUCGGGGCAUCUUCAAAACUGCUUCUGGGUUCCCAAUUUUUCCUUCAGUGAUAGAGAUUCUCUUGAGUGGCAUGAGUGCCUCUGAAGAUUCUGCAGCAGCUGCAGCUUUGGCCUUUAGGCACAUCUGUGAUGGUCCUCUUAUAGAGAGAGCUCUGGUGAUUCUGCUACCUAAAGAAGUGUCUUUCCCCUACAUUAUCCAUGUGGACACAGACGUCAAAGAUUCUGACGGUUCAACAUCCAUGGCCACUGUUUGUGCAGGUAUGCUGUCUCCCUUUUUCUCGACAUUGUCAGUGGACCCGAUUUUGAGACAACCUCAGCUUCGUCAUAAUAGCUGAUAGCUCUUGGUUUAUCUUGUGAUAUGCCCAUUUAAAUUGGUUGUGACAACUACUUCUACAGAAUAUCAUGCAAGUGUCUGACGCAUAGUUUGUAUCACUGCACUCAUACUCAGGUAGGUGUGAGAUAAUAGGACCAAAAUGUAGGUCUAAAUAGGAGAAAGAAUGAAGUAGAAGGUUCUGAACAUGAUAAUAUUGUCUAAAAUAAUAAUAUGUGGGUGGAUUUUAGCGACUAGGUCAAUUUGAAACUGGAUUUUUGUUGUCCAUCACAACAACAUCACCUCAAUUAAGGUCCCAGACAACUGCAAAAAGCACUUGCACGGGAACUUACUAUUCAUGUUGAUCGAUUGGGAAACAUCUUCAGAUAUUUGGUUCUGACCCUUCUUGUGCAAACUAUCUCUGAAGCUUGAUUGCAGCACUUUUCAGCCACACAACACAUCUUCUGACCAAAAUUGAGGGGAAAUACGAGGCGCCUAUGAGGUGAUCUGAUGGAGAAGAGGGUGGUUAUGGAAGCGUCGAUGCUGGAAGAUAAGUUACAGUACCAAUCUGGUCAAUCUAAGGGUUCAAACUCAUGAAGGUUCUAAAGAGUUUCUUCAACAGCACUAUCAUUGAUGGGGUUGAUUUCUUAUUUUGCUCCUUCCUCCGUUAGGCUAUCUUCCUCCAUCAGAAGUCAAAACUAAGUGAAAACAAGGGAUAAGCAAAAAGAUAUAAGGGACAUGGAUUAUGUUUUGUUGCAAAACUUGGAUUGUUUUUAAAUCAUUAUAGUGAUUACUCGAAAAUUAGUUGUUAUUUCUACUGGGCACCCUUCGGGAUGAUGUGCUCGCUCAAUUCCCACUUUCAGUUUCAGAGACAGAUCAAGAUGCGUACGUGGCGAUGAAAGCUUCGAGGAGUUGGUUUCGUUAGUUGGUUAGCUUCCACUAUGUUUAUUUUGUGUUUAUAUCCUAUUUUGUAAACCAACUCACUACCGAAUAUGUAGCACUUGAGAGGAGUUCUUGUAUUUAUUGUUCUUGUAUUUAUUUCGGAGAGGGUUUAGAUUCGGGUUAAUCUUUGUUUAUAACUUCUUUCUUAGUGUUUUAAACAGAUGUUUUAGAUGUUUUAGAUCGUUAGUGCCUCAUUU
This is a long non-coding RNA of Papaver somniferum (opium poppy), 2629 nucleotides long. RefSeq lists it as uncharacterized. The transcript is spliced from 9 exons. NCBI's taxonomy places the organism in Eukaryota, Viridiplantae, Streptophyta, Magnoliopsida, Ranunculales, Papaveraceae. The record is from RefSeq and is a predicted model, not a curated record.